This 754-nucleotide long non-coding RNA is filed under the name Lepisosteus oculatus (spotted gar). Its description in RNAcentral is "lncRNA (ENSLOCG00000022916.1)". Lineage: Eukaryota; Metazoa; Chordata; Actinopteri; Semionotiformes; Lepisosteidae. The record is from RNAcentral.
CUCUGUUGUGUUUUCCGUUCAGUGUCUUCGGACAGGAGGUGAUUCCCACUAAAUAAUGGGAGUAUAAACUUUGGUGUCUUCGGGCAGGACAUACUUGGCUCAGCUGCUGGAAUGAUCUAUGUUGUACGAUCUGGUUGCAGUGCGGUGACGGCACCGCCCUCCGCUGCGCGUAACAGGGAUGCUGGCCUCCGGGGCUAAAGAAGGAAAUGCAACGAAGUUCCAGUCUUCAUUCUGGUCGCUGCUUCCACGGAUUGCCUUGGAGAAACAGGAACAUGCUCUGCUUUUCCGUGCAGUUGCAUGCAAAUCUUUUCGUAGUCUGUUGAUUUUGUUAAAAGUAUUUAGCGUUCGUGUGGCCGUGCUUUGACACUUUGUAAUCGAAAUGCCUGUUCAUUUUCACUUGAAAGCCUGUGCAUCAGUCAUACUGCAAUGCUUUGUUUUGUAUGCAUUUUUUACUCAAUAAAUUAUUCAUUGGAGUUUGAUUUUGUUCUUUCAUUUCUCAUGCAGAGCUCUGUACCCCCUUGGCCCUGAAAAACCUUGAUGUUGGUGAGUUUCUUGGCGGAGAGAUUUUGCGAACUGUUUCUGAGAAACGAUGCGAUGAGCUGUUUUAUCCUUGGAGUCACCUACCGCAAGGGGACACCCUAUCGCAUUGUGACUUGGAAUCUGCAGAGGCUACCCCCUUUUUAAGUGUGCCCAGAUUGUCCCGCCAAAAAACCGUCCACUCCUCUUUUUGGAGAGGGGGGCUGGAUGAAUGACC